GUGUCAGCCGCCGCGGUAAGACGUAGGGGGCGAGCGUUGUCCGGAAUUACUGGGCGUAAAGAGCACGUAGGCGGGAACCUAAGUCAGGUGUGAAAGACCGUGGCUCAACCACGGGGUGGCAUUUGAAACUGGGUUUCUUGAGGGCAGGAGAGGAAAGCAGAAUUCCUGGUGUAGCGGUGAAAUGCGUAGAAAUCAGGAGGAAUACCAGUGGCGAAGGCGGCUUUCUGGACUGACCCUGACGCUGAGGUGCGAAAGCGUGGGUAGCAAACAGGAUUAGAUACCCUGGUAGUCCACGCCGUAAACGAUGGAUACUAGGUGUGGGAGGUAUCGACCCCUUCCGUGCCGCAGCUAACGCAAUAAGUAUCCCGCCUGGGGAGUACGGUCGCAAGGCUGAAACUCAAAGAAAUUGACGG
RNAcentral lists this ribosomal RNA (413 nucleotides) under uncultured bacterium. RNAcentral's name for it is "bacterial SSU rRNA". It matches the Rfam family "Bacterial small subunit ribosomal RNA", at positions 505 to 916 of the family's 1533-position model. The record is from RNAcentral.